AUGGGUAUAGCUCAGUGGUAGGGUGCAUGCUUAGCAUGCAAGAGGUCUUGGGUUCAAUCCCCAGUACCCCCA
Molecule: transfer RNA, 72 nt
Filed under: Camelus bactrianus (Bactrian camel)
Lineage: Eukaryota; Metazoa; Chordata; Mammalia; Artiodactyla; Camelidae
Also listed under: 2 other names
Rfam family: tRNA
About the family: Transfer RNA (tRNA) molecules are approximately 80 nucleotides in length. Their secondary structure includes four short double-helical elements and three loops (D, anti-codon, and T loops).
Source: Rfam by way of RNAcentral